UCCAGCGUGGUUUAGUGGUUUGAAUGUUGGACUAGGUCUCCAGGAGACCAGGGUUCAAAUCCUCUGCUCACCCAUGGAA
This is a non-coding RNA of Phrynosoma platyrhinos (Desert horned lizard), 79 nucleotides long. The record is from the annotation of a GenBank genome assembly. Lineage: Eukaryota; Metazoa; Chordata; Lepidosauria; Squamata; Phrynosomatidae.